AUGGCUCAGGAUGAACGCUAGCGGCAGGCUUAACACAUGCAAGUCGAGGGGCAACGCGAGUAGCAAUACUUGGCGGCGACCGGCGCAAGGGUGCGUAACGCGUGAGCAACAUGCCCGUAUCAGGGGGAUAAUCCAGGGAAACUUGGUCUAAUACCCAUAGUAAUUUUGUAAGGCAUCUUAUAAGAUCUAAAGCUUUGGUGGAUACGGAUUGGCUCGCGUGACAUUAGCUGGAUGGUAAGGUAACGGCUUACCAUGGCUAUGAUGUCUAGGGGUUCUGAGAGGAAGGUCCCCCACACUGGAACUGAGACACGGUCCAGACUCCUACGGGAGGCAGCAGUGAGGAAUAUUGGACAAUGGAUGGAAAUCUGAUCCAGCCAUGCCGCGUGAAGGAAGAAAGGUCCUAUGGAUUGUAAACUUCUUUUGUAUGGGAGCAAUAAGGCCUACGUGUAGGUUGAUGAGAGUACCAUACGAAUAAGCACCGGCUAACUCCGUGCCAGCAGCUGC
This 504-nucleotide ribosomal RNA is filed under the name uncultured bacterium. Its description in RNAcentral is "bacterial SSU rRNA". It matches the Rfam family "Bacterial small subunit ribosomal RNA", at positions 19 to 518 of the family's 1533-position model. The record is from RNAcentral.